AUCCUAGAGACACUCUUGAACCUUAAAAAUUUAACAAAAAUCUAACAAUGGAUACUUAAAAACAUUUUAUCCUAUUCCCACAGGUUAACAUCAGCCAUGCAUUUCUGUGAUGGCGACCGGAAGGUUUUGCCACACCAAAAAUGUCUCAGUUAGUCCACCAUCCAGUUGGGAUGUUCCUAAUCCGUCCGUUUCUUGUUUCCAGACAGUAAUGUGAGCGGACAAUAGAAAAUUGUUGACCUCUUUUGAAAACAACAUAUACAUAAAUUAUUUCGAUGCUCAACAUUAGGAUAGACAUAAUAAUUCCACCUACAAGAAAGAAGUCUAAGAAAAGCUCACUUACAGCUUUAUUUAAAUGUGACUUACAAAUCAGCACAAAGAAAGCCGCUAAAGCUCCUGAUAAGGUGACUGGAUAUACGGUGUAUAAUGAUUGACAGGUAGGCUUUCUAAUUUGACGUUGCCGAAGGAGUCGUUCCACGAAACCUCUUUCCCUUGCCGAACACAUGCUAAAAUAAUGACUGCGUAAAAAAAAUGUAAAUAUCGGGAAUGAAAGGCCGGAUACCUCGCGCAGAUCACAAAUUUCACUGGCAUCAAAUAAUUCGGCAAUCAAAGGAUAGGCGGCAACUACUUCACAGUGAAAUGC
Molecule: long non-coding RNA, 640 nt
Organism: Drosophila pseudoobscura
Lineage: Eukaryota; Metazoa; Arthropoda; Insecta; Diptera; Drosophilidae
Exons: 3
Source: RefSeq, a predicted model, not a curated record